UGGGAAUUUUCUUAUUGGGCCUCGCCUUCAAGAAUUUGGGCUUUUGUGACUCGUAUCAUUCCCCCUUCCUCAAAAAGAUUCGUCCUCGAAUCUGAAAAAUCAAAUGAACUCGACUUUCCUCUAUCGAACGGAACUAAUGGCAAUUGAGUCCACUGAAAAGAAUAGCCAUGAGAUAGUAAAUAGCAACGGAAACAAGCUUGUAGUCCAAUCAUAAGCAUAACAGAACAGGUUAUAACGCAUGUGAAUGGACAGAUUCAGAUUACCAUGCAAACAAUCUAAUUUACUCACCACUGCCUCGUCAAAUAUUUGAAACAAAGAUGGACAUGUUUUAAGGCAUUCAGUCGUCUCACAUUGUUCCCACAAACCAUGAAUAAAUUGCGAGUAAUAAAUCAAAUGGUAAACAUAAUCGUCACAAGUAGGUAUUUGAAAAGAUUCACAUGGUUCACAGAGUUGCAUAAUCAUACCAUGCAUUAAUCGAUGGUCUAUAGAUUCACUCACGCAUGCAUUAUCAAAAACAAGAAUCUUUUUAUCAACCAUCAAAACAGAUAGAUCAUCAAUAAAUAAAAUAGGACAGUCAAGCACGUUUCGAUCUAAGUGUUCAUCAACACGAUCUUUAUCACUAUCCGAGGAGUACAAAAGUGUUUCAAAGGUUUCAAGCAUCUUACCUCGAUAAGCAGAAGAAUAAGGGUCGAUUUUACCUUUUUCAUUUAAAACAAACCUUCGCUCAUCGGGAGCAUAGUGUAGUCGAAUCUUCGUUAUUGAGUUAACGUUUGUCAAAUGGAACUCAAACUUCAUGUACAACCACAUAAACUGUUUAAGGCACGAAUAUAAAUUGAAAACAAAUUUGGAAAAUUUCGUUACCUUAUUCUCCAAAACAGAUUUGGACAAAUUCAAGGAUUUUACACAAGGUAAAUCAAGAGAAUAACAAAUCACGCUUCUUUUCGUAAUGACUUUAUCAACCACAAUCGAAGAGUAACAAUUAAUCGGAUCAAAAUGAGGGGAUCUUUUAAGAACUAAGUCACCAAAAGUUUUAUCAAUAAUUUUCAAAUCUGCACUGGACUCGGUUUCUAAAAUUUCCUUACCUCGCUUACCUUCGGGAUCAUGUAGUGUGAUUUCAUCUUUGCUUAAGUUGAUCGUAUGAAAGCGUCUUUCAUUUGAGAGGUAUUGAAGUUGAAAGUUAUCUUUCGAUCUUUCGGGAACCUGAAAAGUAGCAACACAAGAAAAAUUCAUAUCUUGGUUAGUGGAAACAUUCCUCACUACCCUUUCCACGUCUUUUUCUUUUGUUUCUUUUUCUAAUUCAUUUUCUCUUCUUUCUUCAACUUCUUUUUCAAUUUUCUUUUCUGUUUCACAUUCCUUUUCACUCUCAAGCUCUUUUUGCUCUUUUUCUUUUUCCUCACUUGUUUUAACAGAAUUUCUCAGUUUGAUUUGGUCCUCAUAGACUUGUUCCGGAGUGAGCGGCACUAAGGUGAGUUUCUUUCCUUGAUGCUUGAAAGAAUACCUAUUGGUACGACCAUUGUGAGUGACUUUUCGAUCCAGUUGCCAUGGUUCUCCUAGCAAUAAAUGGCAGGCUUGAAUAGGCAUUACGUCGCACACAACUUCGUCUUGAUACUUACCGAUAGAAAAGGCAAUGCGCAAUUGUUGAGUGACCCUAAAUUGGCCUUCGUUGCUAAGCCCUUGUAGUGGAUAAGGUUGUGGAUGCUUGGUAGUGGUUAAGCAAAGCUUUUCCACCAUCGUCGUGCUGGCUAUGUUCGAGCAACUUUCACCAUCAAUAAUAACUCUACAAAGCUUACCUUGUACAUGGCAGCGAGUAUGAAAGAGAUGUUCUCGUUGCUGCUCGCUCUUUGGUUUUGCCAAAGAUGAUUGUCCACGAUCAUUAAAAUCAUCAUCCAUUCUAGGGACACGUUGAGGGCCGCGCCUAUGGGGCUGGUUAUUCCUAUCUUCCCUGAUUGGAUCUCGAUAUUGAAGUUCUUGAUUCAUUCGUACCUCAUUCAAAGUAGUAUUCAAUGCUUGAAGGGUAGCAUUUAUUUGUGUGAUUGUAGCAGCGUGUCCUUCUAACUGUUGUUGGACUUCCAUAAGUGUAUCAUUAUGGUCAUCUUUAGACAUCUUCCAAAAAAAACUGCAAAAAUAAACACUCAACACUCAAAAAUAAAAGUUAUCAAACCUCACCGUUAAUCACUCAAAAAGAAAAAAUCAAAUUCUCAAUGAGGUCGAAUUCAAUCUUGUGAGUUCUUUAUCAGAGUUUAUAUCAACCAAUUAGAGAGUGUGAACCAAACUACCAAAGAAUCCUAAUUUGCACUAGGAUGCCAAAAACUGACGAGACACCAAUUGAUUCGUGUUGCACCGAGGAAGAAGUUGUGCACACGUUUAAAUCCUACUAACACAAGAAACAAGAAGGUGUUAGAUAACGUAAAGGAAGAAUAAAGGUAAAUAAAUGAAAACCUACAGCUAAGAAUCAAUAAAAAUUGCUGAAAACAGAAAACCCGAAAAACUGCGGAGUAACUUGACAACUUCGUUCGAGGUGUUCCCGAUCUCCAAAAAUCACGAAAUUAAAUCUGGAGUGUCCUUAUAAAUUGAAUUUUUGAUCUGGAAAUUUUGGGCACCAAAUUCAACCCUCUGCACCUUUUAUUAAAUUUUUAUUGAAUUUCGUAUUUUUUUUGAUUUUUUGACUUUUUUGACUGAUUUUUUGCGGGAAUAAUUUUUUUAUAUUCAAUCACAGUGCCAAAAACAUGUAUGUAAAAUUUCAGAUCAAUCGGACAACGUUUACCCACUCAACUGAAUUUUUUUGAACAAUUUUUCUGGGUAAAACUGCUGUUUAUGCUUUAAAAAAUAGAGAUCAGUUUAGAAAUCAACCAAGAACAUCCAAAACGCCCAAAAUCUGAUUUGUAAACAUCUUACUUGUUUAAUUUAAUUUUUAAUCUUUAGGAGCAUUACAUGUAAAAUUCGGCCCAAAACAGCCCAUAUAAGUGCAUGGCCGAAUUUACCUUGUUAUUUUAUUAAUUAGGUUUAAUUUUUUUAGUUACUUGUGAGAUUAGGAUUUGUUGGAGGCCUAUAUAAGCAUUGGCCAGCCACCCUUUGAAAAAACACAUCUUAUUAUUAUUUUUUUCUAUCAAAUUUCAGAUUUGUUGAGUGCAGAAUUUUCUUUGGGGUUUUCUCCAAGAAUUCUCUCUUGAGUUUUCUUUAGAAGUUGUUUUAACAAUCUUUUGAUUGUGGGAGCCAUCUUCAACCUUCUUCUUGCCAUCGAUAUUCUUUGGAGGGGAGAUUAGAGCCGUUUGAAGGAAUUUGUGAAUUCUUUCGGGAAUUCAAGGGUUCUUAGGACUUUUUCUUUAUUUCUUGCUGUUUCGAUUUGUUUCUUUAUUCCUACUUGUGCCGAUUCAUUAUCUAAUCUUUUUUGCUGUUCUUGCUUGUGUUUCAGCUUUCUUUAACUCCAAGAUCCUUCCAUUUAAUCGGUCUACUUUUGGGCAGUAAAGUUUCAAACCAAAAUCCCUAAAUCCUAGGGUUCUUGUCGAUUAAUACAUUCUGAUUUUUGGGAAAAAUCAAGUUGCUGGAUUUUGGGGCUUUAUUCAUCGAUUUAGUUCUUGGACAGAUUCGGCUUGUUGAAAAUCAAACUUGGAGAUCGAUUUCGUGUUUUUGCAUUCCGAAAACAUCUAUUCAUAAGAUCUUUGAUUCUUGGCUGUUCUUGAUUGUUUUGGGGAUCUUAAUUUCCAGAUCUGAUUUGUUUUUAAUCUUGUUCUUUGUUUUGAUUUCAGAUCUGAUUCGUCUAGAGCUUUCAUAGGAGUUUCUCGUGACUUGGCAACUCGAUCUUGGUCCGCGCGCAUUCCUCUAUCAGAGAAGGUUUGUAUUGAUAGAAAAAAGUGACACCAAAUUGUUUCUUCCUACUUUUAAAGGUAAACAAGAAAAGACUUUGGAAAAUGCUAAGACAUCAAUGUUUUAUUCGCAUGUUAAUGAACACUUUGUUGAUGCUUUGAUCUUUGAAAAAUAUUAUUUUCUUGAUGGUAAUGGUUGUUUGUCUUUAAAUUGCAAUGAAAUGCAUGUUUUGAAUGUGCAAGAUGAAAGCCUGUAUAAAUUGUUCCUUCUAACUGAUUAUGUUGAAAAGGUAUGGAAGUGUAUUGAUGAUUCUGAUUGUGUACGAAGAUAUUUGAUUGACUAUUAUUUGAAUCGAUUGAGUUUGCUUGAUUGUAAUAAUGGCAAGAUGAGACUGUUUGACAAUUUGAGAUUUGCAAGUUUUGAUCGAAUGAGUCUAAGGGUUCAUGAUCGAUUGAAUAAACUUUUCAUGUCUUGUGGAUAUAAAUUGAGCGUGAAUCCUUUGCAUUUUCUACUACCGAACAUGGGGAGCCCACUUGAGAAGGUAAGAUCUAUUUAUAUUCUUAGACUCAGCAAUGGCUUAAUUGUUCAAAUUCUGAUUGACAUUUCUGUGCAAGUUUGUAAGUCCUUCAUUCGUUUUGUUCCCAAUUCAUUUCUUUAUUAUGUAGAUCACAUCUUUAUUUGUUAUAUUCCUAAAGAGGGAGGGACUGCUUCUAACUUUCUUCUCUUACGAGAAUUGUGUGAUUUUCAGAAUUUUGGAAGCAUUAUUGUCAACCAAGGGGAUUGUGAUGAGGAAAGAUUUUUCAUGAGUAAAUGGCCCGAUUUGGGAACAAAUCGCUUAAAAGAGGGAGGGGAUGAUACGACCACGCUCCGGGCACACUUUUGGACCAGCUCCUUAUGCAUUGAUUGCAAAUGCAUGCGGGCUGAAUUAGCUUAAUUCCAUUUCAUUGAGCUCCAAUUAGCUCAUUUCCAGCUCCAUGAACUCAUUUCAGCUCAUUUGAGCUCAAUUGCAAAAUUUGUGACUAUGUGUUUUAGCUGCUGGAAUUAAUUUAAUUUGUCUUUAAAAUAAAUUAGUUUAGUUAGUUACAAUAUGUAUAUGAAUUAAAUUAGGCUGAUAAUUCUACAUUAAAUAUGUUUUAUUUUAUUACAUGUUUUAAUGAUGUCCAAAGUCUAGCCGAAUUUAUGUCAAAUAAUUAAGUUGUCCAAAUUCAGACAUGUUUUAAUUGUGUUUUAAGGGCUGCCAAAUUUAAUGUGCAGAAUUUAAGUGUUAUUUGCUGCUCAAUUUAUUGUGUCUAACAUGCAUUUGAUUUAUUGAAUUUAUUUGCUACAGGUACACUACACUUGGACGUUCUAAGAUGCAUGAAGGAAUUAAAAGAAGGUACAUGCAUGGUACGGCACAUGCAUGUUUGGGAAAAUUAAAUUUGUUUGCUGAUUGAUUAUCCUAGGUGACCAUUCGGCCAAGAGAGCUACUGUUUAAUACUCCCAAGAAGAAGGCCAUUCAGCCGAAAUUAUUCCUUUCACAUUGUUGGGCAAAUGUUCACACAUGGUGGUUGUUCGGUUCAAGGUUUUCACAUUACAAAAUGGCUGAUCAGUAACUCCUUAAUUGCCGGUCACUUUCCAGCAAUAGUUGCAAUAUAAAUGAGCUCAUUUAAGCAUAUUAAACGAAUCAAGCUGCUGCCAUGCACCUCUCCAAGCUUCCAAGUCCAUUGUUCAUUCUAGAAGCUGUCCAUUCAAGCUCACAUUUAGCCAAAUCUUGUUAGCCUAAUUAAAUAGAUUCAUUUGCUUAGUUUUUAAGAAUUCAGGUGGCUAUUCGGCUAGCUUAGUUUUUGCCUAUAAAUUGUGUUGAUUUCAUUUUGUAAAGAACUUUUUCUUUUGAACCUUAAUGAAUUGCUGUCAAUUUGUGGAGAGAUUUUCUUCUCUUAAAUUUCGUCCAAAAACUUCGUUGACUUAUCUAACUAGUUAGUGGCGUUAACCCGUUUUUGUUCAACCGAACUUAUCACGAUUUCGUGUGGCGUUCAAUCUAAAUUAUACCAAGGUUCCUAUCUAUUAUAGAUAGUGGGUCGAGGUUUCACUAUCCAUUUCCUAAAAAACUUUAAAACCUAUAAGUUUCGGGUCAACCUUCAAUCGAAGUGUUGGUUCACUCUUGUUCUUAAUUCACCAUUUUAAUUCUAAUUACCGAGUUUUCUUUUAUUUUACAACCAAGCUUCAAUAAUUCGAUUAGCUAUCUUAUUCUUAAGCCUAUCUUUGACAUCCUUAAACCACAUUUAGCUUAACAUCCAUCUUCAUUCCAUCUCAAACGAUUCUUCUUUGUUUUAACGAUCGGGCAACUAUACGACUCGGAUUAAUCUACGAGGCCGGGGCGUAUCACAUGUAGUGGAAUAAAGUAAUUUCGUACCAAGCUUAGCCCACAAUACCUUCCAAAAGUGGCUAUGGAGUUUGACAUCUCUGUCAGAAACAUUUGUUUUAGGGAUGUCAUGAAGUCUUACCACUUCUUUAAAAAUUAAGUCUGCCACAUGUGUAGCAUCAUCUAUUUUGUAACAAGGAAUAAAAUGUGCCAUCGUGGAAAACCUGUCAACAAUAACAAAUAUACUAUCUCUUCCUUUCUUAGUUCGUGGCAAACCUAGAAUAAAAUCCAUGGAUAAGUCUACCCAUGGUGAAGUAGGAAUCGACAAAGGAGUGUAAAGACCAUGAGGCAUUACCUUAGAUUUUGCUUGUUUACAUGUAAUGCACUUAGAACAUACCUUUUCAACAUUCUUCUUCAUAUGUGGCCAAUGGAAGUGUUCUUGCAAGAUGUCUAGUGUUUUGGCCACUCCAAAAUGUCCCAUUAAACCCCCACUAUGGGCCUCAUGCAUUAAUAAGUCUCGCAUGGAACACUUUCGUAUGCAUAACCUGUUCAUAUGAAAAAGAAAGCCAUCUACAAGAUAAAACUUCUCAAAAGUAGUAUGUCCACAAUUUCUAUAGAUAUGGCCGAAAUCAGCAUCAUCAUUAUAUAAUUCCUUAAUAUGUUCAAACCCUAAUAAUUUAGCAUUAAAUGUAGUUAUUAAAGCAUAUCGUCUAGACAAAGCAUCCGCAACUACAUUAUCUUUACCUGUUUUAUAUUUUAUCACAUAAGGAAAUGUUUCAAUGAAUUCCACCCAUCGGGCAUGCCGUUUACUCAACUUACCUUGUCCCUUUAACCACUUAAGGGAUUCAUGGUCUGUAUGAAUGACAAAUUCAUUGGGCAGCAAAUAAUGUUGCCAUACUUGAAGUGCACAAGCCAAUGCCAAUAGUUCUUUAUCAUAAGUUGAGUAGUUUAAUUGUGCACCAUUCAAUUUUUCACUAAAAUAAGCAAUUGGUUGCUUAUCUUGCAUUAGAAUGGCACCAAUGCCUAUUCCUGAAGCAUCACACUCAAGUUCAAAAGUAUUAGUAAAAUCAUGUAAUUUAAGAAGAAGAGCAGAACAUAACUUAGCUUUUAGGGUCUGGAAACCUUUUUCUUGAGUUUCACCCCAUUUGAAACCCACGGAUUUCUUUAUGACCUCUGUUAAUGGGGUAGCAAUAGUAGAGAAAUCUUUAACAAAUCGUCUAUAAAAACUAGCUAAGCCAUGGAAAGAUCUCACCUCAGUUACCGAUUUAGGAGUCGGCCACUCUUUGAUUGCCUUGACUUUGUCCUCAUCGACAUGAAUACCUUGAGCACUAACUAUGAAACCUAAAAAUAUUAGCUUAUCACAACAGAAUGUGCAUUUAUCAAAGUUGGCAAAUAAUUUUUCUGCUUGCAGAAUAUCUAAAAUAGUUCUAACAUGGAAAACAUGAUCAUCUAAUGUCUUUGAGUAAAUUAAAAUAUCAUGAUCAUCUAAUGUCUUUAAGUAAAUUAAAAUAUCAUCAAAGUAAACUACUACAAAUUUACCCAAGUGAAGCCUUAAAACGUGAUUCAUUAAUCUCAUAAAUGUACUCGGUGCAUUAGUAAGGCCGAAAGGUAUAACUAACCAUUCAUACAAUCCAAAUUUUGUUUUAAAGGUUGUUUUCCAUUCAUCCCCUUCCCUCAUUCGAAUUUGAUGAUAACCGCUUUUUAAAUCAAUUUUAGUAAAUAUAACUGAACCAUGUAAUUCAUCAAGCAUAUCAUCAAGUCUAGGAAUUGGAGGUCUAUACUUUACCAUUAUUUUGUUGAUUGGACAGCAAUCAACACACAUUCUAUAUGUACCAUCUUUCUUUGGUACCAUUAAGACAGGAACGGCACAAGGGCUUAGGCUCUCACGAAUGUACCCUUUGUCUAGUAACUCCUCAACUUGCCUUUGCAAUUCCUUUGUCUCCUCGAGAUUGCUUCUUUAGGCUGGUCGAUUUGGAAUUGAAGCUUCGGAUACUAAGUCAAUUUGAUGCUCUAUCCCACGUAAAAGUGGUAAACCUUUAGGGGCCUCACUAAAAACAUCCUCAUAAUCCUGCAAAAGACACUGAAACACACUAGGCAAAUUUUCGUUAAUGUUAGAUAAAGAUAAAUAGUUUUGCCUAAACCUCACAAGGAUACAAGGCUGUUUAUUGAGUAGGGCUCUCCACACAUCUUUUUUUGUUGCCAUCAAAUUUUUCACUCUUAUUUUACCACUUGCAGAUUUACUCACCUUUGGGCUAUUUAGAUUUUGACUUUUUCCACUAGUAGCCUAUUUUCUCUCUGUCUUUUGAAUUUGUCCUUUCUCCCUUACCCCCUCACAAAAUUUCAUCAUAUUUAAUCGAUCUUUAUAUACAUCAGUGGGAUUUAAAGGAGUAAAACUGAAUUUUCGGCCUUUAAACACAAGGGAGUAUCAAUUGAGCUUACCUUGGUGUGUAACAUCACGAUCAAAUUGCCAAGGCCGUCUAAGGAGCAAGUGUGCUGCAUGCAUUGGGACCACAUCACACCAUACCUCAUCCUCAUAAUUCCUGAGCUUAAAAGUGACCAAGGACUGUUUUGUAACUUUAACUUUCGAGCAUUCAUUAAGCCACUGAAGGUGAUAUGGCUUAGGGUGUUUCGUACAAGGUAACUUUAAAGAAUCCACCAAAUAACUGCUCACUACAUUCGAACAACUCCCACUAUCAAUAAUAAGUGAACAUAAGUACCUUUAAUAAAACACCGAGAAUGGAAAAUAUUUAUCCUUUGGUUAUCAACGUCAUCUCUCAUCUGGAUGUUAAGGGUGCGGCGAACUACAACGUAUUGAAAAUCAGCAAAGUGCCUUUACUACAACGUAUUGAAAAUCGGCAAAGUGCCUUUCUUUUGGUGGUUCAACCAACUCUUCUCCAUUAUCACUAUCAUCCAUAAGUUCAAGCAUAUCCGGAUCUAUUUUAUCGGAGUUAGAAGUGUACUCACCAUUAUCUUUCAUAAGAAGUAAUCUCGUGUUAGGGCAUUCCCUACUAUAAUGACCACACCCUUUGCACUUGAAACAUUCAAUCUCACGAGUCCUCUUCUGAUACGAACUCGUCUCGUGAUGUUUUGAGUCGUAUGUGUUGCCCAAUUGUGAAUUGAGUAAGGAUGGAUUCGUUUCGGUUUUAAAUUGAAACAAAAUAGAGAUAAUGGCUUCAAACAAAGGUAAUAAACAAAAUAAAGAGGAAACAAUAACAAAUUAAUUGGCUAAGACCGAAAAUGAACCAACAAUAACGAAUUGUUGACCCGAAUCACAAAAUGGUCUUUAGGUGUUUUCGGUUAAAGGAAACAGGAAAGGAACCUUGACCCACUAUCAACUAUGAUAGGAACCAAAGGUAUAUUAAACGCCACACCAAAGGUGAUAAGUUCAACAACAAAGAAAAGAUGGACGCCACAAGCUAUGCUUGAUAAGUCAAAUCAAUUCCGAAAGAACAAAGAGAAUUGGAUAGCUCACAAUUCAAAUAUUUCAUCUAUAUUCAGUAAAAAGUUGUUCCCUCUAUGGCUGAUUACAUCUAUUUAUAAUGCUAGAACAAGGUAACCGAAUGGUCAAAAACAUCCACUUAAUGUGUCAUAAAAAACUGAUGUCUUUUCUUAUUCUUUGAACCAAAUAACUCCUUCCAUAAAAUCACUUUAAUUCAGCUGAUUUGAAUGUCUUUAAUGGCUUAGAAAAUGACUCUUGAGUUGUCCUUGGCUAGUUGAAUAGACACCAUCUCUUACCAGCUCCUUAAUGACAUUCAAAGGCUUGAUUAAUUUCUCUUAAAAGCUCCAAAAACGGCUGGAAGUGGAAGAGUUGCUGCUGAAUUUUAAAGGGCAUAAAAUGCUCUUUAAAAACUCCUUUUAAUGAUCUUUAAGCUCCUUUUUUUAACAGCCCCUUUAAUUGUAACUCAAAAGAACUUGAACAGCCACUUAUUAAAUGUGUAACAGCCUUGAAUUGUAACCACUAUAAGCUAAAAAGUCACCUGCAAUAAACACAUUAAAAUGAGUUUAUUAAACACAUUAAAACACUUAUUAAUCAUAACACAUAUUAAACUUACUUAAAUAAAUGAACUAAAACAUAUAUGCAAUAAUUAUUCCAGCAACUAGUUUAAUUAAAGAAGCAUAAUUUAAAGAACUUAAUUUAUGCAUCAAUAAAUAAUCCUAGGAACUAGAUCAAUUAAGAAGCAUCUUAUUUAAUAAAGUUCAAUAACUAACUCAUGUAUUAAAACUUUAAGAUAAGUUAAAUUAAUUGAUCAGCAACUUAUUUAUUAAACUAAAACAAGUUAAUUAAAAGAAACAAAUUCAGCUUGCAAUAAAUUGCAAGUAAUGCCUUUUGAACGGUUUGAAGCACGACUAUCAAAUCCGGCCACUCCCUCUUCCCAAUCUCGUUCCACAUAGCUUGCUAUUGCAUUUCGAAAUCUCUUAGCUCGUGAUCGAGUUAUUGGUCCUCGUGGCAGCUCAAUGGAUUCGGUAGUAAUUUCCCGGGCUAAGGUUGCAUCAUUCCCCCCCUCUUCGAGGCGAUUUGCUCCCAAAUCGUCACCUACAUCGAAAAGAGAUAAAUCAGCAACAUUAAAAGUAGCACUAACCCCAUACUCACCAGGUAAAUCUAACUUAUAAGCAUUAUCAUUAAUUCUCUCCAAGACUUGAAAAGGUCCAUCUCCUUGUGGUAAUAGUUUGGAUCGUCUUUGAACGGGAAAUCUCUCCUUGCGCAUGUGAAUCCAAACCCAAUCACCAGGUUCAAAUAUUACUCGUUUACGGCCCUUGUUAACUUGAUGUGCAUAUUGCUCCGUUCUUCGUUCAAUAUUAUCCCUAACUCACUGAUGUAAUUGUUUCACAAAAUCUGCCUUUUUCUUUCCAUCUACAUGCACCAAUUUAUCAAAAGGUAAAGGCAAUAAAUCCAAUGGAGUUAAGGGAUUAAAUCCAUACACUACCUCAAAUGGUGAAAACUUGGUAGCUGAAUGUACCGAUCGAUUGUAUGCAAAUUCAAUGUGAGGUAGACACUCCUCCCAAGUUUUUAAAUUCUUACGUAUAAUGGCCCGCAGUAGUGUUGACAGAACUCUAUUAACAACCUCUGUUUGGCCAUCAGUUUGGGGAUGACUUGUUGUGGAAAAUAAUAGCUUAGUUCCAAUCUUUCCCCAUAAAGUCCUCCAAAAGUGGCUGAGAAAUUUAGUGUCUCGAUCCGAAACAAUGGUUCUUGGAAUUCCAUGCAAUCGUACAAUCUCCCUAAAAAAUAGAUUGGCAACAUUUAAAGCAUCGUCAGUUUUGUUACAUGCAAUGAAAUAAGCCAUUUUUGAAAACCGAUCAACUACAACAAACACAGAAUCUUUGCCAUUCUUUGUUCUAGGAAGACCCAAAACAAAGUCCAUAGAAAUAUCCAUCCAUGGCAUUUCUGGAAUCGGUAAUGGAGUAUAGAGUCCAUGUGGUUGGACCCUUGAUUUCGCCUUCUUGCAAACAAUACAGCGAUUGCACACUUUAGCCACAUCUCGUUUCAUCUUUGGCCAAUAAAAGUGUUCUUGAAGAACGGCCAAAGUUUUGGCAAUACCAAAAUGUCCCAUUAAACCCCCACUAUGUGCGUCAUGAACCAGCAAAUUUCUAGUUGAUCCUUGGGGUAUGCACAACUUAUUUUCUCGAAAUAGGAAUCCAUCUUGCUGAUAGUACCUGUCAUACGCACCUUGCACACAUAACUUGUAAACUUCUCCAAAAUCAGAAUCAUCAGCAUAUAAUUCCUUUAAAUAAGCAAAACCAAGUAACUUAACAUCCAAAUAAUUUAAAAGAGCAUACCUUCGCGAUAAAGCAUCUGCAACGAUAUUUUCCUUACCUUGCUUAUACUUAAUCACAUAUGGAAAGGAUUCUAAGAAUUUUACCCAUUUUGCAUGUCGUUUGUUAAGCUUAGUUUGCCCUCUCAAAUGCUUCAAAGCCUCAUGGUCCGUGUGUAUAACGAACUCCUUAGGCCAAAGGUAAUGCUGCCAUGUUUCUAAUGCACGUAUCAAUGCGUACAUUUCUUUGUCAUAUGUGGGAUAAUUGAGCGUAGCUCCAUUAAGUUUCUCGCUAAAAUAAGCCACCGGUUGCCCAUCUUGCAUUAAAACCGCACCUAUUCCUAUUCCAGAAGCAUCACAUUCUACCUCGAAAAUUUUGUUAAAAUUCGGCAAACAUAAAAGUGGAGCAUUAGUCAAGCAAUCUUUGAUUUUAACAAAAGCAGAUUCUUGUUCAUCAGACCAAAUAAAAGGUGAAUUUUUUUUGAUAAUACCGGUUAAUGGGGCAGCAAGAGUGCUAAAAUUCAGUACAAACCUCCUAUAGAAGCUUGCAAGGCCAUGAAAGCUUCUAACUUGGCUGAUGUUAUUCGGUCGUGGCCAUUCUUGUAUUGCUUUAAUCUUCUCUUGGUCCACCUCUAAUCCAUUCGCACUUACAACAAAACCUAGAAAAACAACUUUGUCAGUACAAAAGUUACAUUUCUUAAGGUUUGCAUACAAUACUUCCUUUCGUAAAACCUUCAAAAUAGCAUGCAAAUGUUCAAGAUGUUCAGUUAAUGAUUUGCUGUAAAUUAAAAUAUCAUCAAAAUAAACUACGCAAAAACGACCAAUGAAUGACCUCAAAACGUGGUUCAUCAACCUCAUGAAAGUACUCGGUGCAUUGGUGAGGCCAAAAGGCAUCGCUAACCACUCAUACAAACCGUAUUUAGUCUUAAACAUAGUCUUCCACUCGUCCCCCUCCCGCAUACGAAUUUGAUGAUACCCGCUUUUCAGAUCAAUCUUAGAGAACAAUUUUGCUCCACUAAGCUCGUCUAACAUAUCAUCAAGUCUAGGAAUGAGAUGUCGGUAUUUGACGGUAAUUUUGUUGAUAGCUCGGCAAUCUACGCACAUCCUCCAUGAACCAUCUUUUUUAGGCACCAACAGAACGGGAACCGCACAUGGACUUAAACUCUCCCGUAUAUAGCCUUUUUCCAUUAAUUUCGCCACUUGUCGUUGCAACUCUUUAGUUUCCUCUGGGUUGCUUCGAUAAGCUGGUCGAUUUGGAAUUGUAGCUCCGGGAAUAAAGUCUAUUUGGUGUUCAAUACCUCGAAAAGGAGGCAAUCCACUUGGCACAUCUUCCAGGAAAACGUCUUUGAAUUCCUGAAGCAAAGAAACAAUAGAAAAAGGUAAAGAAUUAUCAAGUUCGUUAGCAUCAAAUAAGCAUUCCUUGUACAUAAGUACAAGUACGGGUUGAUGCAACAACAAUGAUUUUCUUAUCUCUUUUUCUCUCGCAAAUACGCUCAUUUUACCACUCUCAAUUUCUUUUUGACUUUCUUGUUCCUCUCGUACUUUUACCUCCACUCCCUCAAUUUUUUCUUUCUUUUUUUCAUUUUUCUUGUCUCUCUCUUUUUCAAUCUUUUCCUUCAACUUCAAUUGAUCUUGGUACACUUGCUUUGGAGUCAAUGGCGCUAAAGUUACAUUCUUGCCUCGAUGCUUGAAUGUAUAGCGAUUUGUAUAACCAUCAUAGAUCACGCGCCUAUCAAACUGCCAUGGACGUCCCAAAAGUAGAUGUCCCGCAUGCAUAGGAACUACAUCGCACACCACUUCAUCUUGGUACUUUCCAAUAGAAAAUGCCACCACAGCUUGUUUUGUUACUUUCAGCUCACCUCCAUCAUUUAGCCAUUACAACUUGUAUGGAGUUGGAUGUUUAGUUGUAGCCAAACCUAGCUUUUCCACCAACAUAAUACUAGCUACAUUAGUACAGCUACCAUCAUCAAUGAUCAUACUACAUACCUUGCCUUGAAUGUGGCAUCGAGUGUGAAAAAUAUUCUCCCUUUGUUGAUCAGUUUCAACACUUUGAAUACUGAGGCUACGCUUCACCACAAGAAUUUCUCCUUCAACGGGUAACUCUAAAUCUUCAUCAUCGGAUGGCAUUUCAGGUUCAUUUUCAUCCUCUUCCUCUGACUCAACUUCUCCAUCAGCUCUUAUCACCAUAAUUCGUCGAUUGGGACAUUGACUAGCUAUGUGCCCUCGGCCUUGACACUUGAAACAUCUUAUGUCUCUCGUGCGAUUUGGUGCUUGCUCAUUUUUAUUUCGACUUGUCUCUCCAAUGGGUUGAUUUGAUUUAACUGCUACAGUCGGCUCUUUUCCACUAAUGCAAUCGGGCCCCAUGAGUUAUCAGAUGCGAAUGAUGUUUCCCUCGAGCUGCCUAAAGGACCUAUUACCAGAGCUAGGGCUAAGAAGUUUAAAGACACAAUUUCAGCUUUGGUUGAUCGGGUUUGGGGUGAAUCCGUGGCCAGUCUACUUGAAAACUCAUGGACCAGCAAGAUGAGCAAACCGUGCACUUUACUUCAUGGCAAGCUUCUAUCAACGAUUUGUUCCAAAUUUUAGCACCUUGGCAGCACCUUUAACUAGUGUGAUCAAGAAGUCUUCUGCCUUCUAUUGGAAUGAGGAACAAGAAAAAUCUUUCAUUGCUCUUAAAUCUUGCUUAACUAAUGCUCCCUUACUUGUGUUACCUGAUUUUGCUAAAAUGUUUGAAGUUGAAUGUGAUGCAUCAGGUGUCAGAAUUGGAGCCGUUCUAAUGCAAGAUGGAAGGCCCGUGGCAUACUUUAGUGAGAAGUUAAAUGGAGUCGUUCUCAACUAUCCGACGUAUGAUAAAGAAAUGUAUGCUCUAAUUUGAGCUCUCGAGACUUGGCAGCACUACUUAUGGCCAAAAGAGUUUGUCAUACACUCGGAUCAUGAGGCAUUGAAGCAUAUCAAGGGACAAGCAAAAUUAAAUAAACGACACGCCAAAUGGGUAGAGUAUUUAGAAUCUUUUCCUUACAUCAUCAAAUAUAAAAAGGGUAAGGAAAACAUUGUGGCUGACGCGUUAUCUCGACGAUACACUUUGCUAUCAUAUUUAGAUUUAAAAUUGCUCGGAUUUGCCUUUUUGAAGGAAUUGUAUAAUGAUGAUGUUAAUUUUGGUGAUAUUUAUAAAUCUUGUGAAAACAAAGCUGUUGAUAAGUUUUACAGGUUUGAUGGAUUUCUUUUUCGCGAAGGUAAGCUUUGUAUUCCGCAAAGUUCAAUACGAAAAUUGUUGGUGAUCGAGGCACAUGGUGGUGGACUCAUGGGCCAUUUUGGGGUGGCUAAGACGUUUUCAACCCUCCAAGAACAUUUCUUUUGGGCUGGAAUGAGAAAAGAAGUUGAACAAAUUUGUAGUCACUACAUAACUUGCAAGAAGGUCAAGUCCAAGAUUAAUCCACAUGGGCUCUACAAACCGUUGCCCAUACCUGACGCACCAUGGGUCGAUCUUUCUAUGGAUUUUAUCCUAGGACUUCCAAGGACUAAAACGGGGAAGGAUUCAAUUUUUGUUGUUGUAGAUAGAUUCUCCAAAAUGUCACAUUUUAUAGCUUGUUCUAAAAUUGACGAUGCCGUUCAUAUUGCUAAUUUGUUCUUUAGGGAGGUUGUACGACUUCACGGAAUUCCAAAAACCAUCGUAUCCGAUCGAGACGCAAAGUUCCUAAGUCAUUUUUGGAGGUCUCUAUGGGGAAAGCUAGGAACGAAACUGUUGUUUUCAACAACCUGUCAUCCCCAAACGGAUGGACAAACGGAGGUUGUGAAUCGCGUGCUAUCAACCUUAUUACGAGCAAUUAUUCGAAAGAAUCUCAAAGCGUGGGAGGAAUGUUUACCGCAUGUGGAAUUCGCUUACAAUAGAUCCGUCCAUUCUGCUAUUAAACAUUCACCAUUUGAGGUUGUGUAUGGAUUCAAUCCUCUAACUCCAUAUCAUCAAAAUAGACAACGCAAAAUUUUCCGAUAAAAGAACGAAGAACAUGGUUCAUCAACCGCAUGAAAGUGCUAGGCGCAUUGGUAAGCCCGAAUGGCAUAACCAACCACUCGUAGAGUCCAUGUUUCAUCUUAAAAGUGGUUUUCCACUCGUCCCCCUCACGCAUCCGAAUUUGGUGGUAUCCGCUCUUUAGAUCAAUUUUAGAAAAUAUUCGAGCACCACUCAAUUCAUCCAACAUAUCAUCGAGUCGCGGUAUCGGAUGUCGAUACUUAAUAGUGAUCUUAUUUACCACGCGACAAUCUACGCACAUACGCCAUGUUCCAUCCUUUUUUGGCACCAAUAAAAUCGGUACGGCGUAAGGACUAAGACUUUCUCGUAUAUAUCCCUUCUCCAUAAGUUCAUUGACUUAUUUUUGCAAUUCUUUGGUCUCUUCGGGAUUUGUACGAUAAGCUGGUCGAUUGGGAAUGGAGGCUCCGGGAAUGAAAUCAAUUUGAUGUUCUAUUCCUCGAAUGGGUGGUAACCCAUUAGGAAUGUCUUCCGGAAACACGUCCUCAAAUUCCUGCAAAAGAGAAACAAUCGAAGAGGGCAGAUUUGGAUCCAACUCAUUAGUAUUCAAAAGAGUUUCCUUGUACAUAAGUACAAGAACCGAUUGCUGCAUCAAAUAAGACUUUCUAAAAUCACUCUCUUUCGCAUAAACACUCAUUUUCUUUUGCUCUUUUUCUUCUCUAUUUUUUUGUUCAAUCGAUUUAUUAUUUUCUCUCACACUUUUCAAAAGUUUUUCUUUUUUUUUCUCAGUGUGUUUUUCGCUUUCUUUUUCAUUCUCUCGAAAUUUUUCAAAAGACUCUCUUAACUUCAAUUGGUCUUCAUAAACCUGUGAUACGAGCUCGUUUCGUAUGAAAUAACGAGUCGUAAUAUUUCCCGAUCGAAAUUAGGUAGUGUCGGCCUUGAAAUAAAUUCAAGUCUUGGUGUUUAAAAUUAAAUGGCUUUGGAAAACGAGGGAGUUUGAUGGAGUGUUGUUUGCUGGAUAUUUCAAUGAAAACAAGUCAAACCCUUAUUAGCAAAUAAGGACCCGGGGCUUAAGGUUUCAAAGAAAGAAAGGAUUUUGGGAUAAAACCGAGACCCUCUAUUUAGCAAAAUAGGAACCUACGGUAUGAAGAACGCCACACCAAUGGUGAUAAGUUCGAAACAAAGUCAGAUUGACGCCACUUGUUGAAGAUAAGUCAAUUUGAGCUUUGGAGAAUAAAGAGAGUGAAUUGCCUCACUAAAAUGAUAUUUCAUUCAGAAAUUUGUCAAAAGUCCUUUUACAAGAAAAUGAGUAACUAUUUAUAGCCUAAUGCCUAAUAGCCGAAUGGACAUAUUCUAGACUUAGUUUCUAAGCAAACAUUGAACAAAAAUGGCCAAUGUAGGUUCGACUGAAUGGUGACCAUACAUGAAGCUUCCAUAUUAAGCAAAUGAAUCUUGGGAAUGCAUGUAGCAGCUACAUUCAGCUGAUGAGCUUAAUUGAUCAUUCAAUAGGCAACUCUUGCUGAAAAAUUAUCAAUAAUAAAGAGGGCACUUGAACAGCCACAUUAGGUGUGAAUGGACGGUUUUGAAGAGCCUUAAAAUGUGAACACCAAGAACCGAAUGGCCAAAAUGUAUCCAGCAAUGUGAAGGAAAUAAUGGCAGCUUGAAAAACUAUCUCUUUAGCCGAAUGGUCACUUAGAGAACUUCAAUAAUCAGCACACCAUUUUUAAUGUAGUUCAUGCAUGUAUCAUUAGGUGCAUUGAAUCCAACAUGCAUGCAUCUUGCACACCACAUUCGGCCAACCUUUCCCAUGCAUCUUCCACAUUCGGCUGAACCUAAAUAAAACAAAUGAACCUCAUUAAUUUAACUCAAUUCAGCUGAACAUAAUAUGAACAUACUAAUUAACAUUAAGCCGAAUUAAAUAUGUACUAAACAAGACACAUUAAUUCGGCUGAACAUAGUUAAUUCAUGUAAUAUAUUCAAACAAAUUAAAUGACAUCUAGACACCUUUAAUUCAACCAAAUCAACAUAUUAAACACUUGUAAUAAAUUAAGACAUAUUUAAAAGCUGUAAUGAAACUUAUUUAAAUGCUUAUUUAAAUGGUCUAAAAUUCCAGCAGCAAAUUAAUUAGCUAGAAUGAAAUUCAGCUUCAAAGAAGUUGAAUAUGUUCAGCUCGUUUUUAAACUCCUUGCUAUCAUUUUCCUUAACCCGUUCUACCAUUGCUAAAAUAGCAUCUUUGAAUCGUUUAGCUCUAGCUCACGUUAUUGGACCAAUGGGCAGCUUAAUGGCUUCUUGUUCAUUCUCCAUUUGGUUCGUAGGCAAGCUCACAUCAUUCCCCUCCUCUUCAGAACGAUUUGCCCUCAAAUCGGAAUCUGCAUCAAACGGAGACAAAUCAGAAACGUUAAAAGUCGCGCUAAAAUUAUAUUCACCAGGCAAGUCCAAUUUAUAGGAGUUAUCGUUAAUUCGCUCAAGGACUUGAAACGGUCCAUCCCCUCUCGGAAGAAGUUUGGAUCGCCUUUGCAUAGGAAAUCUCUCCUUGCGCAUAUGCAACCAAACCCAAUCUCCCGGUUCGAACACAACUCGCUUACGACCUUUGUUAGCAUGUUGCUCAUAGUUCUUGGUCUUGGCCUCAAUAUUGUCUCGAACUCGUUGGUGCAAUUGCUUGACGAAAUCAGCUUUGCGCUUCCCAUCUACAUGAACAAGUUGAUUAGAAGGCAAUGGAAAUAAAUCAAGUGGAGUUAAUGGAUUGAAACCAUAGACAAUUUCAAAAGGAGAAAAUUUGGUAGCUGAAUGAACAGCUCGAUUAUACGCAAACUCCACAUGUGGUAAGCAUUCUUCCCAAGCCUUCACAUUCUUCCGAAUAAUAACUCAAAGCAAUGUAGACAGAAUCCGGUUGACCACUUCGGUUUGGCCGUCCGUUUGCGGAUGGCAAGUGGUUGAAAACAGCAACUUCAUUCCAAGACGCCCCCAUAGUGUCCUCCAAAAAUGGCUAAGGAAUUUUACGUCUCGGUCGGACACGAUCGUUCUAGGCAUGCCAUGCAACCUGACCACCUCUUUGAAAAAUAAGUUAGCAAUAUUAACGGCAUCAUCAGUUUUAUGACAUGCUAUAAAAUGGGCCAUUUUUGAGAACCUAUCUACAACCACAAAUAUUGAAUCUCGGCCAUUCUUACUCCUAGGUAAACCUAGCACGAAAUCCAUGGAGAUAUCAGACCAAGGGGUUUCGGGAAUAGGUAAUGGCUUAUACAAACCGUGGGGCUUAAUUCGUGACUUAGCCUGUUUGCACGCAAUGCAUCUAUUACAAAAUCGUUCGACAUCUCGUCGCAUCUUGGGCCAAAAGAAAUGUUCGUGCAAUGUAGCUAAUGUCUUAGCAACACCAAAGUGCCCCAUUAAUCCUCCGCUAUGGGCUUCUUCGAUCAACACUUCUCGUACGGAACCUUGGGGUAUACAAAGCUUUCCUUCUCGGAAUAAGUACCCAUCAUGUCGAUAGUACUUCUCGUAGGCUCCCUUGGCACAUAAUCUAAAGAAUUCACCAAAGUCAGCAUCGUUGACAUAUAAAUCUUUAAGAAAUACAAACCCCAUUAACUUAGCAUCCAAAAUAUUUAGCAACACAUACCUUCGAGAUAGUGCAUCAGCCACUACGUUUUCCUUACCUUUCUUAUAUUUAAUAACAUAGGGAAAAGAUUCGAGAAAUUCUACCCACUUAGCGUGUCGCUUAUUCAACUUGUGUUGCCCCUUUAAAUACUUCAAGGACUCAUGAUCGGUGUGUAUGACGAAUUCCUUGGGCCAAAGAUAGUGUUGCCAUGUUUCUAAGGCUCGGAUCAACGAAUAGAGCUCCUUGUCAUAUGUUGGAUAGUUUAAGACAGCACCAUUCAGUUUCUCGCUAAAAUAGGCAAUAGGACGACCAUCUUGCAUCAACACAGCUCCAAUGCCUAAACCUGAUGCAUCACAUUCUAACUCGAAAGUUUUAUCAAAGAUAGGCAAAGCUAAUAACGGUGCAUGAGUUAGACAAUCUUUAAUUUUAAAAAAGGAUUUUUCUUCUUCCUCUCCCCAAAUAAAGUUGGAAUUCUUACGAAUAACCCCGGUUAAAGGUACGGCUAAGGUGCUGAAAUUUGGCACGAAUCGACGGUAAAAACUUGCUAGUCCAUGGAAACUUCGGACUUGGGAGACAUUCGUCAGACGGGGCCAUUCUUGGAUCGUCUUGAUCUUCUCUUGAUCGACUUCAAGACCCUCCGAGCUAACAACAAAACCUAAAAACACAACCUUGUUAGUGUAGAAAUCACAUUUCUUCAAAUUAGCAUACAAGGUUUCUUUUCUCAAUACUUCCAAAAUAGAUUUUAAAUGUAAAAUAUGUUCAUCCAAAUUUUUACUAUAGAUCAAUAUAUCGUCGAAGUAUACUACGCAAAAUCUACCAAUAAAAGGUCUUAAAACGUGAUUCAUAAGCCUCAUGAAUGUGCUUGGGGCGUUCGUUAAGCCAAAGGGCAUAAUAAGCCAUUCGUAAAGCCCAUGCUUUGUUUUGAACGCAGUCUUCCACUCAUCUCCCUCACGCAUCCAUAUUUGGUGAUAACCGCUCUUAAGGUCGAUUUUUGAAAAUAAACUCGCGCCACUUAGCUCGUCAAGCAUAUCAUCCAAUCGUGGUAUAGGAUGACGAUACUUGAUAGUUAUUUUGUUUAUAGCACGGCAGUCCACGCACAUCCUCCACGUUCCAUCCUUCUUCGGAACUAGUAAAACAGGCACGGCGCAUGGACUAAGGCUUUCACGCACAUAGCCCUUUUCAAGGAGUUCAUUUACUUGCUUUUGUAAUUCUUUCGUCUCUUCAGGAUUGCUCUGAUAAGCAGGUCGAUUUGGAAUUGCGACUCCCGGCAUAAGAUCGAUUUGGUGUUCAAUUCCACGAAUAGGUUGAUACGACCAUGCCCCGGGCACACUUUUGGAUCAGCUCCCUAAGCAUUGUUUGCAAAUCCAUGCGAGCUGAAUUAGUUCAAUUUCAUUUCGUUAAGCUCCGUUUAGCUUGUUUCCAGCUCACUCGAGCUCAAGUCAACUCACUCAAGCUCAAUUCAGCUCAAUCUUAACCCAAUGAGCUUAUUUUUAGCUUUCUUUAGCUUGCAUUUAUUUUGCUGAAAUAAACCAUUUAAUUUGUCAUUAGUUAAAUUAGUUGUUUAUCUUAAGUUAGUUAAUUUGUUAAAAUCUGGACAAAUAAUUAAUUAAGUGUUUUAAUUAUAUCUAAAUUAAAUACUUAAUUAAUUAUGAUGUUUUAAAUAUGUCUAAAAUUGUUAAUAUGUAUGGCCAAAUUUAAUGUGCAAAUUAUUGAGUUCAUAUGCUGCUAAUUUAAUGUGUUUGAAAUGCAUUUAACUUGCUGAUUUAAUUUGCUGCAGGUUCAUGAACGGAUUGGUGCAAUGUAUGGGAGUGUGCAUGCACAAUUGAGGUUCAAUGGAUGGCAUUUAAAGGAGCACAUGCAUUUGGGACGUUCAUGCAAGAGGGAGUUGCUGAAAGUUCAUGUAUUUGAAGAUUCAUGGAUCAUAUUUAUGGGGGAAAAUACAUGGGACGUUUCAUGCAUGAUUCAUGCAUUUUCAAGAUGACCAUUCAAGUAUUUUAGGCACAUUAAUGCCUCAUUCAGCCAAGGGAGAUGUAGGAUCAUUAAAGAGCUGCACAUUCAUGGAAUUAUGGAGAUUCUUCAAGGCUAAGGAUGCAUGAAUGCAUCAAGUGAAGCAUCAUGAUGGUUCGGCCAAUUCAUGUACCAUCUUCAAGCAUGAACUGGAUUUUAAUGCUAUUUGUGUGAACAUGUUAAAUACCUGUGUGAACAGAAUUUAAGUUAGUGUGAACAACAUAGAUGCCGAAUAUCAAUAGGCAUUUUAGGCUUAUAAAUAGCUUACUUGUUUAUUGUAAAAGGUGACAGAAUUUGAUCAAUUAAACUUAAUAGAACUUUUGUUCUUGUGAGGUUACCUCCUCUCUUCUUUCGUUCGAGUCUCGAAGCGACUUAUCUAGCUUGCUAGUGGUGUCAAUCUGAACUCCAUUGAACUUAUCACCCAAUCGGUGUGGCGUUCAACCAUAUUUUUAUACCUUUGGUUCUUACCUCUAUAUAGGUAUUGGGUCAAGGUUCGCUUCUAUCCUUCCACAAAUUUCACCUUAAGCAAUAUAAGACUCGGGCAAUACUUUUUAGUAUUGAACAUUCUUGACGUUUAAGUUUUAUUUUCCAUCUCCAUCAAUUACCUUUUUCUAACCUACCUUGUUUCUAUUCUAAACCGAAUUUAUCAACACCAAACCACUCAUCUAAACCCUCUCAAAGCUUCCGCAACCCUUAGCCUAAAUCACCCAAUUUUGACAACUCCAACUACUCCUCGUAGACGAUCGGGCAACUUUGUGAAACGACUCGAUUAACUUGGGCUGGAUCACAUCAUUUGGUAUCAGAGCUUGCAAAACGAGGAGCAUCGACAUUCGUAAUAAGGCCGCAAGUAGGUUUGAAACGUGAAAAAAAAAAGAAAUUUUUUUUUGUUGUAAUUUAAUUUUUUCCCUUGUAUUUAGCUUACUAUUGUAUUGGAGUGUCAAAAAAAUCGAAAUUCAAAAAAAAAUUCAAAAAAAAUCGAAAAAAAGGAAAAAAAAGAAGUGACAAAAAAUCGAGUUAAAAAAAAGAAGAAAAAAAAGUGAAAAGUCUUGCGAGUUUUUAUCAUUAUCACUUAUUACUCCGAUCAUCAAGUUUCCCUUCCUACCAUUAUUUACCCAUCCCAACGCCACACUUUAAACCAAUUUUCUUCUUUAUUCAGCCUACCCUACACCCGACAUUAUCCCUUGUAACCCAUUUUGAAACUGACCCUCAAGCAGCAAAUUAAGUCUAUCGAGAUGAAUUACGAAUUUGUGAGACGAGGUCGAGUGGUAAAAGGCAAGAGAGCGUGAGUUCAUUCGAAAAAAAGCCUAAAAGAGAGUUCAAACACGAGUGAGUGAAUUUUUCUUUUUGAGCGAACUUGAGAGAUUUGUGGUGAGAAUUAUUUUUCUUUCUAAUUUAACUUUUGUUUUCUAAUAUUUUGUUGAAGCAUGUCUGAAGAAUUUUCUGAAUUUGAAUUCCAAAUGUGGAGACAAGAAAUGCAAAGGAUAAUGCGAUCUGAAUUUCGACAAUUCGACAAAGAUAAAGAAGAUUUGACAUCUACUAUCGUUGACAUCAAGAUUAGUGCAAUCCUUCAAAGAUUGGAAAAUGAACCACAAUGUGAAGAUAUGUUUCACACGCGUUGCCGUGUCCACGAUAAAGUUUGUUGCCUCAUUAUUGAUGGUGGAAGUAGGUCAAACAUGGCUAGUAUUCGAACGGUAAAAAAACUUGGCUUGGCCACUACCAAGCAUCCACGACCCUAUCAACUGCAAGGACUUGGUGUUGAAGGCAAAUUUGAAGUUACUCAACAAGUGCGUGUUGCAUUUUCCAUUGGAAGAUACCAAGACGAAGUCCUUUGUGAUGUUGUGCCUAUUCAAGUCUGCCAUUUGUUGCUAGGAGAACCAUGGCAAUCGGAUCGCAAGGUCAUUCACGAUGAACGUACCAAUAAGUAUUCCUUCAAGCAUCAAGGAAGGAAAAUCACUUUAGCGCCGCUCACACCGGAACAAGUGCAAGAAGACCAAUUCAAAAUGAAGCAAUCCAUUGAGCGAGAAAAGGAGAAAGAGAUUGAAAAAGAAAUGAAAGAAAAGGAACAAGAAAUUGAAAAAGAGAGUGAGAUUGAAGAAAGAAACGAGAGUGUAAAAGAAACGAGUGUCAUGGAAAAAGAAAUUGAGAUUGAAAAAGGAUGUGAAAAAGAGAAAGAAAUCGAAAAAGAAAUUGAGAUUGAACAAAAGUGUGAGGAAAAAGAGAAAAUUGAAAAAGAAAGAAAAGAUAAUUCUGAUUAUUAAACUUGAUUGUGAGGUUUCCUCCUAUCCUAUUUCGUACGAGUCUCGUUCUGACUUAUCUAGCUCGCUAGUGGCGUCAACCCGACUCCUUGAACUUAUCACCAUCCUGGUGUGGCGUUCAUCCACCUUUUUAUACCUUUGGUUCCUACCUCUCUAUAGGUAACGGGUCAAGGUCCAUCUUCGACUUCCAUUAAACCCACCUUAAGCAAUAUAAGUCCCGGGGCAAUACUUUACAUAGUAUUGAAUCGUUCUUCGCUUGAGUUCAAUUUCCAUUCCAUUUUAUCUAUCUACUUAAACUUUAUUUUCUUUGUUAAAUCGAACCAUCCAUUCUCCAAACCAAGCCAUUUUUGAACCCUUUUAAUUACUUCCGCUUAAACCAACUUCAUAAAGUUAUCUCCAUUCGACAUCAACCAAUACUUCUCGUCGACGAUCGGGCAACUUAAGUGAACUCGACUCCAUCAACCGAGCCAGAUCACAUCAUAGGUGGUAACCCACUCGGGAUUUCUUCCGGGAAUACGUCUUGAAAUUCCUGCAACACAGACAAAAUAGAAGAAGUCAAUUUGUCAUCAAAUUCGUUAGUGCCAAGCAAGCUCUCCUUGUACAAAAGAACCAACAAUGGUUGUUUCAAUAGCAUCGAUUUUCGAACUUCCCUCUCUUUUACAAACAAAUUCUUUGUUUCAAUCUCAUCACUCAUUUCUUUUUCUUUUGAAUCACUCUCUUUUUUUAUCACUCAUCUUUUUGUUUUUCUUCUUUUCUUCACUCUUUUCAUUAUUCUUUUCAUUUUUUUGCUCACUCUCAAUUUCUUUUGAUUUUUCAAUCGAACUCCUCAUUUUGAGUUGAUCUUCGUACACUUGUUUCGGUGAUAACGGAGCUAGAGUCACCAUUCGUCCAUUAUGUUUGAAAGAGAAUCGAUUUGUGUAACCAUCAUGAAUUGCUCGCUUGUCGAAUUGCCACAGACGUCCCAAAAAAAGAUGCCCCGCAUGCAUCGGUACAACGUCGCACAUCACUUCAUCUUGAUAUUUUCCGAUUGUGAAUGAAAUGAGCACUUGUUUUGUUACCUUUAAUUCUCCACCAUCGUUAAGCCAUUGGAGUUUAUACGGAUGGGGAUGUUUGGUGGUGGCCAAUCUGAGUUUCUCCACCAUCAAUGUGCUAGCCACAUUUGUACAACUUCCCCCAUCGAUUAUCACGCAACAAAUCUUACCUUGCACUUGACAUCGCGUAUGGAAGAUGUUCUCGCGUUGUUGAUCAUUUUCGGCACCUUGCAAGGUGAGACUUCUUUUCACAACCAAGAUUUCUCCAUUCUCGGCUUGUUCGAUGUCUUCCUCUUCUUCGAGUUGUUCAACAGCCUCGUUCUCUUGUUCACUUUCGGAUUCAAUUUCUCCAUCAUCUCGAACAAACAUCGCAUUUCGGUUCGGACAUUGGCUUGCGAUGUGGCCCCUUCCAAGACAUUUGAAGCAUUUGAUGUCUCGGGAUCUAUUUGGUUGGGCAUCCAUCUUUCCUUUACUCGAUUCGGCAAUCGGUUUGUUGAAUUUGGUAGCUCCACUUACUUCUUUAUUUCGACUCGGCAAGUCUCAUUUGUUGGACCCUUGCCCCCACUUAGUCGUAGAAGAAGUAUUAGGGAAAGAACGGAACGUACCUUUUCUCUUUAAUUAUUUUUCAACCUUUAUGGCCAUAUGGACCAUAUCAAUGACCUCGACAUAAUGGUGUAGCUCCACAAUAUUUGCAAUAUCUCGGUUAAGGCCGGAGAGAAAUCGAGCCAUGGUGGCUUCUCGAUCUUCCUCCACAUCGGCGCGGAUCAUGGCCACUUCCAUUUCCUUGUAGUAAUCCUCCACGCUUCGUUGGCCUUGAGUUAAGCUUUGGAGCUUUUGAUACAACUCCCGGUGAUAGUAAGCAGGAAUGAAUCGCUUUCUCAUUAUGGCUUUCAUUUCCGCCCAUGUAGACACGGGACGUUCGCCAUUGCAUCUUCGGCUCAUCGUGAGUUGAUCCCACCAUAUUAUGGCGUAUUCGGAGAAUUCUAUAGCAGCUAACUUUACCUUCUUGCUUUCCGAGUAAUUGUGGCACUCGAAAACUAACUCCACCUUCUUCUCCCAUUCAAGAUAGGCCUCGGGAUCCGACCUUCCUUGAAAAGCAGGAAUCGCCAUUUUAAUGUUUUUUUAAAUCAUCAUCAGUCCUCUCUCGAUCUCUUGGUCCCCAUGCUCGUUGGCCUUGUCGCCUUGCACUUUGUCGCGAAGCUCGAUCACUUUCAACGUCACUUACUUCAUAUAGAUCAUUUGCAUGUUGCCAUGGACGUUCUCGCUCUCUUCUCGGAAUAGGAGGGGUGUUCGCACGUUGGCUUCGUUCCUCCAUUUGUUCCAUUCGUUCAUAAAGGGAAUCAAAUUGAGGUUGGAACAAACGAGAAAUUUCUCGCACGAUUGCUUGAACUUGUAGAUCGGGCACUCCGCCUCCGGGAACGUUUCUCCUUGGUUGAAGAUUAACUCCUCCACCAGCGGCAUUCGAGGCUCCUCCACUUGUUGCUCGUCGUUCCGGGCUCCUUGACAUGAUGAUUAAAAUUAAGAAAAUAUCCUCACCAAAAAAAAACCUCACAAUUCACUCACAAGAAAAGAAUUCACUCCUCUCGUGUUUCACUCUAUUUUCGGCUUUUAUCUUGAUGUACUCUCUUGCCUUUUACCUCUCAAAUCCAACUCUCGAUAUUCUGAAAAGCUACUUAGAUUUAUCCACACUUGUGGGUCGGCUUCAAGGGGUUUGCAAGGGAAAGUCGUAGGGUUUAGGCUAGGCUCGAAAGAAAGAAAGGCUUAAGAUGUGGCGUAUAAAAUGGAUUCACUAAUUGGGAAUUUUUUUUAAUAGCGUGAAAAUUCACUAAAAUGGGUAUAAAGGAGUGUAGAAUGUGAUUUUAGAAAAAAAUUUGUUGAAGUUCUCCAGACUCUUUUUUUUACGGAUCUUUCACGUUCUUUUCGUCCGCACCUAGACCGUAUGCAAUUUUUUUUUUCAAAAUUUUUUUUUUCAAUUUUUUUUUCAAUUUUUUUUUCAAUUUUUUUUGAAUCUACAAUUUACAUACCUAAAUUAACCAGCUCUGAUACCAACUGAUACGAGCUCGUUUCGUAUGAAAUAACGAGUCGUAAUAUUUCCCGAUCGAAAUUAGGUAGUGUCGGCCUUGAAAUAAAUUCAAGUCUUGGUGUUUAAAAUUAAAUGGCUUUAGAAAACGAGGGAGUUUGAUGGAGUGUUGUUUGCUGGAUAUUUCAAUGAAAACAAGUCGAACCCUUAUUAGCAAAUAAGGACCCGGGGCUUAAGGUUUCAAAGAAAGAAAGGAUUUUGGGAUAAAACCGAGACCCUCUAUUUAGCAAAAUAGGAACCUACGGUAUGAAGAACGCCACACCAAUGGUGAUAAGUUCGAAACAAAGUCAGAUUGACGCCACUUGUUGAAGAUAAGUCAAUUUGAGCUUUGGAGAAUAAAGAGAGUGAAUUGCCUCACUAAAAUGAUAUUUCAUUCAGAAAUUUGUCAAAAGUCCUUUUACAAGAAAAUGAGUAACUAUUUAUAGCCUAAUGCCUAAUAGCCGAAUGGACAUAUUCUAGACUUAGUUUCUAAGCAAACAUUGAACAAAAAUGGCCAAUGGAGGUUCGGCUGAAUGGUGACCAUACAUGAAGCUUCCAUAUUAAGCAAAUGAAUCUUGGGAAUGCAUGUAGCAGCUACAUUCAGCUGAUGAGCUUAAUUGAUCAUUCAAUAGGCAACUCUUGCUGAAAAAUUAUCAAUAAUAAAGAGGGCACUUGAACAGCCACAUUAGGUGUGAAUGGACGAUUUUGAAGAGCCUUAAAAUGUGAACACCAAGAACCGAAUGGCCAAAAUGUAUCCAGCAAUGUGAAGGAAAUAAUGGCAGCUUGAAAAACUAUCUCUUUAGCCGAAUGGUCACUUAGAGAAAUUCAAUAAUCAGCACACCAUUUUUAAUGUAGUUCAUGCAUGUAUCAUUAGGUGCAUUGAAUCCAACAUGCAUGCAUCUUGCACACCACAUUCGGCCAACCUUUCCCAUGCAUCUUCCACAUUCGGCUGAACCUAAAUAAAACAAAUGAACCUCAUUAAUUUAACUCAAUUCAGCUGAACAUAAUAUGAACAUACUAAUUAACAUUAAGCCGAAUUAAAUAUGUACUAAACAAGACACAUUAAUUCGGCUGAACAUAGUUAAUUCAUGUAAUAUAUUCAAACAAAUUAAAUGACAUCUAGACACCUUUAAUUCAACCAAAUCAACAUAUUAAACACUUGUAAUAAAUUAAGACAUAUUUAAAAGCUGUAAUGAAACUUAUUUAAAUGCUUAUUUAAAUGGUCUAAAUUCCAGUCAUCAAAUUAAUUAGCUAGAAUGAAAUUCAGCUUCAAAGAAGUUGAAUAUGUUCAGCUCGUUUUUAAACUCCUUGCUAUCAUUUUCCUCAACCCGUUCCACCAUUGCUAAAAUAGCAUCUUUGAAUCGUUUAGCUCUAGCUCGCGUUAUUGGACCAAUGGGCAGCUUAAUGGCUUCUUGUUCGUUCUCCAUUUGGUUCGUAGGCAAGCUCACAUCAACCUGCCUCGGUGUCAUCGGGACUAAGGUGACAUUCUUGCCUUCAAACUUGAAAGUGUAGCGGUUUGUAAAACCAUCAUGAGUAGCUUUACGGUCGAAUUGCCAUGGACGACCCAAUAACAUAUGACCAGCAUGCAUAGGUACUACGUCGCAUAAAACUUUGUCGGAAUAUUUUCCGAUAGUGAACGGCACCAAAACUUGCUUAGUUACCUUCAACUCCCCUCCAUCAUUAAGCCAUUGAAAUUUGUAAGGUUGAGGGUGCUUAGUUGUUGGCAAGCCGAGUUUUUCAACCAUUAAGGUGCUGGCCACAUUUGUACAACUCCCGCCAUCAACGAUCAAGCUACACACCUUGCCUUGGACAUGGCAACGUGUAUGGAAAAUGUUCUCCCUUUGCUGUUCGUUUUCAACGCUUUGAAGACUAAGACUUCGUUUAAUGAUGAGGAUUUCGCCAUCAACAGCAUAUUCAAGUUCGUCUUCUUCUUCGGCGGCUUCAUCGGGGUUUUCAUCAUCGUCUUCCUCCGAUUCGAUCUCUCCAUUAGCCCGCAAUAUCAUGUUAGUUCGGUUAGGGCAUUGACUUGCAAUAUGGCCCCUCCCUAAACACUUGAAACACUUUAUUUCUCGUGAUCAAUUCGGCAUGACAACUUCUUUACCUUUGCUUGUUUCACCAACGGGUUUGCUCACCUUAGAAGACAAAGGGUGAUCUUUAGUGCGAUUAGAGAAGUCUUUCUUACCCGUGCCUUGGUUCCACCUUUGAAAAUUGUUAGUGCUAGGAAAGGUUCGGCUAGUUCCUUUUCUCUUCAAUUGUUUUUCGACUUUGAUGGCAACAUGUACCAUAUCAACAACUUCGACAUAGUGUUGAAGUUCCACCACGUUAGCUAUGUCACGAUUAAGGCCGGCUAAGAAUCGAGCCAUGGUUGCUUCACGAUCUUCAUCCACGUUUGCUCGAAUCAUGGCAAUUUCCAUUUCUUUGAAGUAGUCCUCCACACUUCGAUUUCCUUGCGUAAGAUUCUGCAAUUUUUGAUAAAGUUCACGAUAAUAGUAAGAGGGUAUAAAUCGCUUACGCAUUACGGCUUUCAUUUCGGUCCAAGAUGAGAUUGGCCGCUCCCCGUUCCUUCUUCGACUCGUUGAGAGUUGAUCCCACCAUACCAUUGCGUAAUCGGAGAACUCGAUUGCCGCCAAUUUCACCUUUUUGCUCUCCGAGUAGUUGUGACACUCGAAGAUCACCUCUAUUUUUCUCUCCCAUUCUAGAUAGGCUUCCGGAUCAGAUUUCCCAUGAAAGGGAGGAAUGGAUAGUUUAAUACCUUUUAAGUCACCAUCAACUUGGCCUCGAUCUCUAGGACCCCUAUUCCUUUGACCUCGUCAUCUUUCGUUUUGAUCCAAUGAUACAACAUUUAACCUUUCCUAAGUAUUCGUAUAAGUCCUGGGUUAACACACUUAUAUUGUGUUGGUUCAACUGGAAUACUUGGUUUUCAUUCACCUAUCAUCCUCAAUACACUUCAUAACCCCUUUUGAACUAAAUUUGAGCCUUUAUCCCUUCUUUCUUAACCUAUCUUCGACAAACCUUGAUAUUACUCCAAUUCACGAUCGGGUACAUCAACGACUCGACUCUCAUCACCGAGGCCGGGGCGUAUCAUCCACCAACAUAAUACUAGCUACAUUAGUACAGCUACCACCAUCAAUGAUCAUACUACAUACCUUGCCUUGAAUGUGGCAUCGAGUGUGAAAAAUAUUCUCCCUUUGUUGAUCAGUUUCAACACUUUGAAUACUGAGGCUACGCUUCACCACAAGAAUUUCUCCUUCAACGGGUAACUCUAAAUCUUCAUCAUCGGAUGGCAUUUCAGGUUCAUUUUCAUCCUCUUUGAUACGGGGUUGCGCGCGGACCAAGAUCGAGUUGCCAAGUCACGAGAAACUCCUACGAAAACCCUAAACAAUUAGAUCUGAAACGAAAACAGAAAAUUAAAAGAUUAGAUUUUUGAAUUUUCAGAUCUGAAAUAAAAUCCCCAAAACAGUAAAGAAUCAAAUAGAGAAUAGAAAUAAGUGUUAGGGUUCUUGAAACCCUCAAGGAGAUUGUGAUUCUGCCCAAUUGAACACCAAGAUAGUUUUUCCCAAAUUUCGACAAUCUAAUUUCACCCAAAAAGAGUAUGGAAAAACCCUAGAAAUUGGGGAUUUUUGGGCUGAUUCCUUAAGAUAGAAAAAGGCUGAAAACACAAUAAGAACAGAAAAUAGAUUAGAUAAUGAUUCAGCACAAGUAGAAAUAAAGAAAUAAAAUGAAACAGCAAGAAAUAAAGAAAGUUCUAAAGAUCCUUGAAAUCCCGAAAGAUUUCACAAAUCCCUUCAAACGGCUCUAAUCUCCCCUCCAAAGAAUAUCAAUGGCAAGAAGAAGGUUGAAGAUGGCUCCCACAAUCAAAAGAUUGUUAAAACAACUUCUAAAGAAAACUCAAGAGAGAAAUCUUGGAGAAAACUCAAAGAAAAUUCUGCUCUCAACAAAUCUGAAAUUUUAAUAAUAAUGAUAAGUGUUUAACAAGGUGGACAGCCAUGCCUUUAAAUAGGCCUUAUAACUAGUCCUAAUCUAAUUAGAAAACUAAAAUAAAAAAAAACUCCUAAUUAUUUUAAUAUGGAAAUUCGGUCAAAGGUCAUUUUAUCUGGGACUCUUGGACUGAAUAUUGACAUAAAAAUUUAAACUAAGUAAAUAAAUAAAUAAAUAAAUAAAUAAAAAUAAAACUUUACAACUUGGGCCACUUUGACAAUUUGGCCUGAUUUUCAACUAAGUAUGGAUGGAUUUCUUGAUUGGGCUGGGAAUUUGCUUAUUGGGCCUCGCCUUCAAGAAUUUGGGCUUUUGUGACUCGUAUCAUUCCCCCCUUCCUCAAAAAGAUUCGUCCUCGAAUCUGAAAAAUCAAAUGAACUCGACUUUCCUCUAUCGAACGGGACUAAUGGCAAUUGAGUCCACUGAAAAGAAUAGCCAUGAGAUAGUAAAUAGCAGCGGAAACAAGCUUGUAGUCCAAUCAUAAGCAUAACAGAACAGGUAUAACGCAUGUGAAUGGACA
This 31292-nucleotide long non-coding RNA is filed under the name Gossypium barbadense (sea-island cotton). RNAcentral's name for it is "long non-coding RNA (GBAR_LNC020056)". The record is from RNAcentral. Lineage: Eukaryota; Viridiplantae; Streptophyta; Magnoliopsida; Malvales; Malvaceae.